UACGUAGGUGACAAGCGUUGUCCGGAUUUACUGGGCGUAAAGAGCGCGCAGGCGGUCGUUCAAGUCGAGUGUGAAAGCCCCCGGCUCAACUGGGGAGGGUCAUUCGAUACUGAUCGACUCGAAGGCAGGAGAGGGAAGUGGAAUUCCCGGUGUAGCGGUGAAAUGCGCAGAUAUCGGGAGGAACACCAAUGGCGAAGGCAGCUCGCUGGGACGGUACUGACGCUGAGACGCGAAAGCGUGGGGAGCAAACAGG
Molecule: ribosomal RNA, 253 nt
Filed under: uncultured bacterium
Lineage: Bacteria
Description: partial 16S ribosomal RNA
Rfam family: Bacterial small subunit ribosomal RNA
Source: RNAcentral